RNAcentral lists this ribosomal RNA (150 nucleotides) under Coix lacryma-jobi (Job's tears). RNAcentral's name for it is "partial 18S ribosomal RNA". It matches the Rfam family "Eukaryotic small subunit ribosomal RNA", at positions 1686 to 1831 of the family's 1831-position model. Lineage: Eukaryota; Viridiplantae; Streptophyta; Magnoliopsida; Poales; Poaceae. The record is from RNAcentral.
CGAUUGAAUGGUCCGGUGAAGUGUUCGGAUCGCGGCGACGGAGGCGGUUCGCCGCCCCCGACGUCGCGAGAAGUCCAUUGAACCUUAUCAUUUAGAGGAAGGAGAAGUCGUAACAAGGUUUCCGUAGGUGAACCUGCGGAAGGAUCAUUG